Molecule: ribosomal RNA, 253 nt
Filed under: uncultured bacterium
Lineage: Bacteria
Description: partial 16S ribosomal RNA
Rfam family: Bacterial small subunit ribosomal RNA
Source: RNAcentral
UACGUAGGGUGCGAGCGUUAAUCGGAAUUACUGGGCGUAAAGCGUGCGCAGGCGGUUUGCUAAGACAGGUGUGAAAUCCCCGGGCUUAACCUGGGAACUGCGCUUGUAACUGGCAAGCUAGAGUGUGGCAGAGGGGGGUGGAAUUCCACGUGUAGCAGUGAAAUGCGUAGAUAUGUGGAGGAACACCGAUGGCGAAGGCAGCCCCCUGGGAUGUGACUGACGCUCAUGUACGAAAGCGUGGGGAGCAAACAGG